Molecule: ribosomal RNA, 460 nt
Filed under: uncultured bacterium
Lineage: Bacteria
Description: partial 16S ribosomal RNA
Rfam family: Bacterial small subunit ribosomal RNA
Source: RNAcentral
CCUACGGGUGGCAGCAGUGAGGAAUAUUGGUCAAUGGUCGGGAGACUGAACCAGCCAAGCCGCGUGAGGGAUGAAGGUACAGAGUAUCGUAAACCUCUUUUGUCAGGGAACAAAGGCGGGGACGCGUCCCCGGAUGAGUGUACCUGAAGAAAAAGCAUCGGCUAACUCCGUGCCAGCAGCCGCGGUAAUACGGAGGAUGCAAGCGUUACCCGGAUUCAAUGGGGGUAAAGGGCGCGUAGGCGGGAUAUUAAGUCAGAUGUUAAAGCCUAUGGCUUAACCCUAGAACUGCGUUUGAAACUGGUAGUCGAGAGUAGGGGAGAGGUAGGUGGAAUGCUGGGUGUAGGGGUAAAAUCCGUAGAGAUCAAGAGGAAUACUCAUUGCGAAGGCGACAUGCUAGAACAAAACUGACGCUGAUGCGCGAAAGCGUGGGGAUCAAACAGGAUUAGAUACCCCAGUAGUC